RNAcentral lists this transfer RNA (72 nucleotides) under Dipodomys ordii (Ord's kangaroo rat). It matches the Rfam family "tRNA". From Rfam's summary of the family: Transfer RNA (tRNA) molecules are approximately 80 nucleotides in length. The record is from Rfam by way of RNAcentral. Lineage: Eukaryota; Metazoa; Chordata; Mammalia; Rodentia; Heteromyidae.
GGGAGUGUAGCUCAGUGGUAGAGCACCUACCUAGCAUGUGUGAGACCCUGAGUUCAAUCCCUAGCACAGCCA